CAGACGUAUGCUUUUCCGAACCCUCCAUCCGUAUGAUAAAUAACCAACCCAUGAAAUCAGCCCUUGAGUUUGAUCUGCCCAUAAAGAAAGGCUAUAAAGCAAAGGACCUGAUUGAUGGAAUCUGCAAAGAAUUUGGAUUAAAUGACAAUUCAGUAAAACUUUGGGAGUUCAUCAAUCCAGACAUUGGAACCAGAACAUGGAAAGGCUGCAAAGAUGUUGUUCCUGUUGCUAUGGAUCAAAAGUUUAUCAUCAAUGAAGACAAAUUUGAAGUGUUGAUGGAAAACGGAAGCAACCUUCCAAAACUUGUCAAGGAACUAAUAUAUACUGUUAGUUAAAAAUUUUGAUUCUUCAUGAAUAUCAACCAAACAGAAAAUAUUGAUUGUUUGUGAAAUAAAAUUUGUUUCCUUUGAUUAUAAUAAAUAAAAAAAAUAUAUAUAUAUA
Molecule: unclassified non-coding RNA, 441 nt
Filed under: Octopus sinensis (East Asian common octopus)
Lineage: Eukaryota; Metazoa; Mollusca; Cephalopoda; Octopoda; Octopodidae
Description: uncharacterized LOC115222651, transcript variant X2
Source: RNAcentral